RNAcentral lists this ribosomal RNA (583 nucleotides) under uncultured archaeon. RNAcentral's name for it is "bacterial SSU rRNA". It matches the Rfam family "Archaeal small subunit ribosomal RNA", at positions 304 to 879 of the family's 1478-position model. The record is from RNAcentral.
UGUGCUCCCCCGCCAACUCCUCGCCCCCGCCCGACGGGGCGCAGCAGGCGCGAAACCUUUACAAUGCGGGCAACCGUGAUAAGGGAACCUCGAGUGCCUGUAAACGCAGGCUGUUCAGGUGUUUAAAACGCACCUGGAGAAAGGGCCGGGCAAGACCGGUGCCAGCCGCCGCGGUAAUACCGGCGGCUCGGGUGGUGGCCGCUUUUAUUGGGCUUAAAGCGUUCGUAGCUGGGUUGUUAAGUCUCUUGGGAAAUCUGGCGGCUUAACCGUCAGGCGUCUAAGGGAUACUGGCAAUCUUGGAACCGGGAGAGGUGAGGGGUACUUCGGGGGUAGGGGUGAAAUCCUGUAAUCCUCGAGGGACCACCUGUGGCGAAGGCGCCUCACCAGAACGGCUUCGACAGUGAGGGACGAAAGCUGGGGGAGCAAACCGGAUUAGAUACCCGGGUAGUCCCAGCCGUAAACGAUGCGCGUUAGGUGUAUCGGUGACCACGAGUUACCGAGGUGCCGAAGGGAAACCGUGAAACGCGCCGCCUGGGAAGUACGGUCACAAGGCUGAAACUUAAAGGAAUUGGCGGGGGAGCAC